RNAcentral lists this long non-coding RNA (97 nucleotides) under Mus pahari (shrew mouse). RNAcentral's name for it is "sRNA (MGP_PahariEiJ_G0008160.1)". It matches the Rfam family "HOXA11 antisense RNA 1 conserved region 1". Lineage: Eukaryota; Metazoa; Chordata; Mammalia; Rodentia; Muridae. The record is from RNAcentral.
GUCACUCGGUGUUCUCACCGAAAGCACGUAAUCGCCCGGUGUAACUCAUGUUGGCUGGGGGGCCUCCCCGCGCGCAGAAAGGCUGGGGUGCGCCCCC